GCCAUCGUAGCCCAAUGGUAGGGCGUCGCUUUCCUAAGAUGAACAGGCGAAGGUUGCGGGUUCGAGUCCCGUCGGUGGUA
Stygiomarasmius scandens is the source of this 80-nucleotide non-coding RNA. NCBI's taxonomy places the organism in Eukaryota, Fungi, Basidiomycota, Agaricomycetes, Agaricales, Campanellaceae. The record is from the annotation of a GenBank genome assembly.